UGGGGAAUAUUGCACAAUGGGCGCAAGCCUGAUGCAGCCAUGCCGCGUGUGUGAAGAAGGCCUUCGGGUUGUAAAGCACUUUCAGCGAGGAGGAAGGUGGUGAGCUUAAUACGCUCAUCAAUUGACGUUACUCGCAGAAGAAGCACCGGCUAACUCCGUGCCAGCAGCCGCGGUAAUACGGAGGGUGCAAGCGUUAAUCGGAAUUACUGGGCGUAAAGCGCACGCAGGCGGUUUGUUAAGUCAGAUGUGAAAUCCCCGGGCUCAACCUGGGAACUGCAUUUGAAACUGGCAAGCUAGAGUCUCGUAGAGGGGGGUAGAAUUCCAGGUGUAGCGGUGAAAUGCGUAGAGAUCUGGAGGAAUACCGGUGGCGAAGGCGGCCCCCUGGACGAAGACUGACGCUCAGGUGCGAAAAGCGUGGGGCAGCAAACAGGAUUAGAUACCCUGGUAGUCCACGCUGUAAACGAUGUCGAUUUGGAGGUUGUGCCCUUGAGGCGUGGCUUCCGGAGCUAACGUGUUAAAUCGACCGCCUGGGGAGUACGGCCGCAAGGUUAAAACUUAAAUGAAUUGAC
This 569-nucleotide ribosomal RNA is filed under the name uncultured bacterium. RNAcentral describes it as "partial 16S ribosomal RNA". It matches the Rfam family "Bacterial small subunit ribosomal RNA", at positions 355 to 914 of the family's 1533-position model. The record is from RNAcentral.